Molecule: long non-coding RNA, 763 nt
Organism: Lycium barbarum (goji berry)
Lineage: Eukaryota; Viridiplantae; Streptophyta; Magnoliopsida; Solanales; Solanaceae
Exons: 2
Source: RefSeq, a predicted model, not a curated record
UUUGGAGAUCAUUGUAAUACAUUAAUGGGUGGACCCCACAACCAUUACACAAGAGACAUAUAUAUACGGGUGUGCAGCAUGUUUGAGAAACAAACAUUUCACAAGAGAAUGUGCUAGGCUUCUUUCCUUGUAAGUUCCAACGUGUGCAACACAUACAUUUUCUAAAGGUUGCUAUGUUGUUUUCCUUAUGGUGUUAGCGCCAGCAAACACAUAUAUAUGCAUAUACACGAUCUGCCAUGGAUAAAUAAAAUUCAUAUGCGGAAGCAAAUUACAGGGGAGAACGUCAUAUAAGUCAUAAACACGCCAGUUUCCUCCGGAUAAUAGCAAAUUAGAGAUUUCUUCAAAGUGAAGUAAGGUGGAAAAGGAUUAUUUCUUGGCAUAUAAGGUACAGAGAUUCGUGAUCUGCCAGCGUAGGCCACACGUUCUGCUAUUACCGAGUGCUCCUUUUGAUCCGGAGCCCAUUUGUCGGUAUAUGUCUUUUGUGAUGUAUAUGCAUCUGUAUAUUUGACUAUUUGGGGUACGGCGGGGCCUUGUCCCGUCAUAUGUUUUCGUUCUGUAUGUGUAGAGGCUUGUAGUCAUAUAUGUGGGUCGAGGGUCCUAUAUGUGUCUGCUUUGUUUACGAUCUGUGUCUUAAUGCGGUCCGUCUGUUAUGGUGGCCAAAAUGGCCCAUAUGUUUGUAUCUGUACAUAUGAUCGGCGACGUGCAUUCCGCCGCUCCUUCUGUUUUAAUAUGAUAUUUUGGUAUGCGCGACCGCUUAAGACAA